This 6169-nucleotide long non-coding RNA is filed under the name Scophthalmus maximus (turbot). RNAcentral describes it as "lncRNA (ENSSMAG00000026119.1)". Lineage: Eukaryota; Metazoa; Chordata; Actinopteri; Pleuronectiformes; Scophthalmidae. The record is from RNAcentral.
AUGUGCUGGAAAAAGUACAUACAGCUAGUUAGGAAGAAUGCAUCCAAUUGGCAGGAAAUUAGCAGGAAGUGGCCAAUGUUUUGUUCUGCUUUCAUUUUCCAGUUGUACAAUGACGUUCAGGCCCGCAGAGGAGCAAACGAUGUCGCUCCUGACAACCAGAAGAAUGGCGGCGAGCUGGAGUGUGGCCUUGGGCACCAUGGCAACAGCCUUUUUGUGCCCGGCCAUCACAGCAACAGUCGCCCUGGAACCGUGACGGUGCCACAUGACUAUAGUAACGCCUGUAACUACAACGCUAAUGGCUACAGCUUCCCCGUGAGUCAUCAGAAUGGCUACAGUUACCGCCACACCAGCUCAGAGAUCGGAGACCUACUGCAGGAUUACUUGGAACAGGGGAAACAAAUGAGCCGGAAGACGAACGGACCUCGCCACGUGCACUUCAGUGACACAAUCAAAGUGAGUCAGGACAUCCCUGAGGUCAGAAGAAGAUAUGAAAAUGACAGGUUUGGUCAUGAGCAGCUUCGGGACAGUUUUGAGCAGACUGAAAACAGAAAGAACCAUGUGUCUCACACGAAGAGCUCCCCCAACAAAGAAAACACAGGUGCCAAGCCCCCUCUCGCACAAAGGGAUUCUCCUGCUGUACAGCCACGCUCCCAGCACCCAGCUAAGACUGUUGAAUCUCCCGCUCUGGACAGAAAGUCCUUCAGUCCAGGCGUCCUCGGAGACAAAAAGUGCAGCAGCCCCUCCGUUCUCAGGAAGUUUGGCGCCAUGCUGCAGGAAAACGAGGGCAAAAUGCUCACUGAGACAGGGGUGGUGACCCCUCAGGGUUUGGCCCUGGAGCCAAAGUGCCCCACCCCGGGCUGUCAGCGCAGAGCUCUGGGAGCCACUGCAGUCGCCGGCAGGGCGCCCGCACGUAUGCCCACCCAGAAAUGCCAAGCAGAUUCUGAUGUGCUGACAGCAGAGAUAGAGCUCAGCCAAGAGAGGGGGUUAGUGUCAGACUCUGGUAGACAGUACCACAAAGAUCAGAGAGGAGGCUACAGUGGCCCUAAAGGUUCGCAGCCCAGUCCUCAGCAGUCCCAGAGGAGAUCACACGUGGCGGGCAGCCCAAAGAUUAGACCCAGGACAAACAGUGGGGCGGACAGAGAUGGAAGAAGGAAGGCUGCACCCCAACAUCUGGAGCACAAAAUGGACUCUAGGGUGCCAAGUGCUCCCUCUGGAUCUCAGAGGAUUCAGAGGGCUGGGUUAUCGGGGCAGGAGUUGCCAGGUUGUGGCCGAGUGAGGGAUGAAGGACUUAUUGAGCUGCUGGACAUGCUGGACAUCGAACAUGAGUUCAGCUCCAGUCCCAGAACGGGUCACGCAGCUCACAGACAGGAGCCACAGCAGGUAAAUCCAGCCGCGUCGUCGCCAGUAGAAGCGAGGAGGAGCUUCUCUCGUCCUGCACGGCCAGCCAACCAGCGACCUCCAUCCAGGUGGGCCAGCCACACCCCAACUGCCAGGAUCAGCGCCCCGUCGGGCCCAGUGUAUCGUUCCCCAAGCCCCAUGACCAGAACCCCAAGUCCAGCCCCGAGGCAUCGGCCGCUCAUCUCCUACUCUCUUCAGACUGAGACGGUCAUUAUGUGAUACUGUCCCAUUUCAGUAAUGCUUGAUCCCUCCCCAGGGAAACCCCUCCUGUGGUUCCCACCCAACACCCUCUAUGUAAAUAGCCAGAACUGUUCCGGUAAUGUGCUUUACGAGAGUGGCUGAGAAGUGCUUCAUUUCAUCUUGAUGCCGUGUUCAAGAUAAACCACAUCCAUGACAUUCUCCAGUGUUGCUGUGGCUUUUUGCUUCUUCUGUGCCUGACGUUAGCCAACAGUCCCGCCCCCCUUAUCCACCUUUCUCCUCUAUUGUAUUGUAUUUUAAGGAGUUCUGAGUAUAAAGAGAUUUAGCAUGCAGCCCUAGAAUGGGGGUGCAUGCUCAUGUGUUUAAUCCUCAGGGUUGCCACGCUGAAUUUGAUUCAGCGUGGCAACCGGUGGGGAGUGGAUUAAUUUGCAACUGUGCUCCAAGCAGCAACCUGCUAACUGUCAACAACAAGUGUGUUUUACUGUAUCAUAUUGUCAAAGUGAUAUAUUUAAGAUGUUCAAAUGCCAGCUGUGGAAAAAAAUGACUAUGAUAUGCCUUUAAUGUAUUUUUUUUUUCUUGGUAAUAAAUAUGACAGUGCUUUGACACGAAGACUCUGUCUCUGUCCAUCGCAGCAUUGCAUUGUUCUGUUCUAUGAAUGACGGCCCAUGUUUCAGGGUGUUGAUGAUUUGCUGCAGGUCAUCCCUAAGGAUAUUGGACACCAGCGACUCCCUGCAUGUCAGUGCUGUGGCAGCCCACGUAGUGUUGCCAUUGCGGAUGAGCCGUGUUCCCCAACUCCAACACACCGGCUGGUUCAAACACAACCUGAGGAGCUGCGUGAUGUGUCAACCUACACAUAGUUCUCUUAUUACUGUGAUUGUUGAGGCUUAUACGUGAUACAGCACUUGAAUUAUAUAGAUUUAAUUUAAAAGAAAAUACAACAUUUGCCACGCUUAAUUUGCUGUACAUUAACACCGCAGUGUUGGCACAGGAGAAGUUAUGCUACCCAUCGUUACCAGGAUAUCCAGUGUGUGUGCACCGUGACGGAUCAGUUUCAUGCUCUGUGUUUCUCGCCUCUGCACCGACAACCUUCGGCUUCCCUGACACCUCCUUCUCUGUGGAAGGUGUGGACACGCGCGCACACGCACGCGCACACACACACACACACACACACACACACACACACACACACACACACACACACACACACACACACACACACACACACACACACACACACACACACACACACACACACACACACACACACACACACACACACACACACACACACACACACACACACACACACACACACACAGAGAGAACAAAAUGUCAGUUAUAGCACAGCACAUGUGCACUGUAUGUGCAUGCUAUGCCACGCAUAUACAUACACACUAUCUCCUGGCAGUAGUGCAGCUAAAGUGUGAAAUGUAAUGUAAAGGCUGGGUUUGGUGUACGGAAGUCCCUCGGCCCCAUGAUGCUUCAGCCCUGUCACCCAAGCUCUCAGUGCUAUGUAGCACAUCAGACAGAAAUAGCAAGCGUGACGUGUGUUUUGGUGCCAGAAAUCUUAGCCUGAAAUGAUCAGCCUUACCCCUCUUUGGGGUUAUAAAUAAAGAGUGAGAGAGAGGAGGUGUUGGUUCCUCUCUCUGUCUCUCUGUUUCUUUUAUCUUGCCCAGGCCUGUUAUAGUCUCCCAAUCAAAUAUCAUAUAUGGAAUAUCAAAUUGGGAAUUUAUUCUGAAUUGCUCCCUUAGAGACAGACCAUUGGCUUUAGGCAAUUUCUUUAAUUUUUUGUAAGUGACAAAGCGUGAUUCUGAUUCCAGGGCUGUUUGCCACACUGUGUGUGUGUGUGUGUGUGUGUGUGUGUGUGUGUGUGUGUGUGUGUGUGUGUGUGUGUGUGUGUGUGUAAAUGAGAGCCCAUCUUACAAGUUGGCACCUCCACGAGCUACAUGAAGGUAUUUUAACAAGGCAUCUCGUUGGCCAUCACUCCUCUGUCCUCGCCAGGCCGCUGUGUCAGGCCAGACUGUUCCCCUUGAGGUCCACAGAAUAAAGUAUGAAAAAGGAGACAUUUACCCUCUUCGCGUUACUUCCCUUUCCCCUGCUUCCCUCCCUGACACUCCUCACAGGCCGACACUGUGUGACGGCGCUUGGCACAGCAUGUUCUCCGCUGGACAGGCUAUUCAUGAGAGCUGAGAGAGACAGAUGACAGACAGUAAGAAGGAGAACACAAGAACAGACAGCUGAACUGUAGCCAUGGCUCCCCUGACGUCAGCAGGCCAAGUUGUCACAGCCACUCCGAUCCCCAACAAAAAGAUUGUGCAUCAGCAAGGAAGACUUCCAGGAUUCUUUCGAGUCAAACAACUUUCCUUGAAAUGCUUCUGUAUGCCGGCGCUAUGAUGGUGUCUUCACACCCACACAAUAUACACACAUUGAGCAUGAAGAUGUACCAUUACAUGUCCACACUGCUCUAUAUACACUUCAUGCUUAUUUAUGACAUCUAGGUUCCAGCAGCAUCUGUUUUCGUGGCUUUGAUCGUGCUAAGGGUGCUGAUAUUGAAUGAGUUACAAUAGUGAGUGCUUUAAAUAUGUGUGCAUGUGUGUAUACACGUGCAUGAAGGUGUCAGUUCAAAUCCAGACUGAAUUUAGACCUCUUCUGACAAAAAAAACAACUCAAUUUGAGGUGACAAAAUUUGAGUAUUAUAUUUAUGAAUUGUAUUUGAGAAAAUACUACAUGGUUUUUAAGGCAUGGCAAGAAAAAUUUUACAAUGAGAAAGAAAGUCUGUAACUCUAAGAUCAUUCUUGAGAAUAAAUUAGUACAAAAGUGUCCAUUAUAGGCCUCUGUAGCUUUUUAUCUGAAUCAAGGUAUUUUGUUAAAACAUUUGUUUUUACAGUUUAUUAUUGCAAUUUUUGAUAUAUAUAUAUAUAGCGUCACAGAAAUGUUUUUGAUGUGACAAAAGGGCAUUGGAGGGGGCAUGAUGCUUUACUUGUUUUAUGAAUUAAAACAGUAUUUUUGUUUACAUUAUGUAGAUUUUUUAAUUCUUUGAUGAGUAUUAUCUUAUUAGUUUUAAAUAAAAUGUUUUUUUUAGUAAUGUAUGAUAAUAUUGCAUUCACAUAUAGGCCUUAACUGGCCUCGUUUAGCUCUGUACAUUGAAAGUUCCUGCCCUAGUUGCUAGGCAGACUUGAGAGCCUCUAUUCACGACAAGCUGGAUAUACUGUAUCUUCCAUGCAUGUGUGAAAAUGAGCAUUACAUCUGUCUGAAUGAGCUUCUGGUGGCUGACAUAAUGUCUUCUUGACCGUCUGAGGCAUGUGCGAAUCUCACACCACUUCCUGCCUCUUCUCUCCCACACACACCUGUCCCAUGUCCUGUGCCCUCUGCCCCCUAGGCCGCUACUCUGCCCGGACAAGCCUCUCAUUCAUUGGAGCAGGGCUUGGAGGUCCGCACUAACAUCCUCAGCAUGUGUCAGUUGCUACUGCGACGAACUGAAAAUAGAUGGUUAACAACCACUUGUAUUACUGUGUAUGUGUGCAUGUCUCAUAAGAAAUGUGGAUGAAGGAGGGGCCGGACCACCCUGUUCAAAAGGUUAAACAUUAGAGGGACAGGCGACCUGAAACAGAGAUGUUUUACAGCUGUUUUACAUGCUUCUCCGGGCCUUCUCUUUGCAUUGUGUUCUACGAAUUCUCUCGUUAAAACUUAACAGACCAAAGAAGUUUGCAUGUCUCAAACAACAUGCAUUUUAUUGUACUUCCAAGUUCUACAGUGUUUGCAUUUUUCUUCACUCUUUAAAAGGAUGGCCCCCUGGAUGGCAUCCACCUGCACCAGACAUGUGAGUGCACAGUUUCAUAUACAAGCUGGGAGGAUGGACACCUGUUUUAUCAUGAUCUGUUAGUGUUGAAUGUACUUUUAGAAGCUUAGGACACAACUUCGAUGCAGACAAAUCAAUAUUUAAGGCACCUCAGACAUUACCAGAAUCGAGUCCUGUCUUUCUGUAUGUGACAAUUAAAUAAUACCUAAGAGCCUACUCUCAAACAACUUUGUCUAUAACAUUUCAUAAGAGCAUUUUCUGACUUUUCUAAGCAUCCCCUGGGGGUGUUGACAUCUUAAAUUAUGGAUUCAAUGGCCAGCCCCCAUGUGUACUUUUAAUUCCCACCACUCUGCACUUCCAUUUUUCAUGCACUUUAUAUACAAAGUACAAAACGUUCCAUCUGUUGGACCGGCAGGGAGUGUCACAAGGUCUCGAUACAGCUCGCUCUGUCUUCGUCCACCUGUCCGAACUGUCAGUGUGCCGGCGUCCGUCCAUUGAAAUGGCCAUCUCAAAUGCCGGAUGAUGAGUGCGGCGGUACGAGAGAUGGGGCCAUCAAGGACAGCCAGGAGGGCCCUAAAGGGUUCUUGAGAAUUCCAGACCUCUCCAUGAAAAUAGAAUGGGGCCCAAAUAUCUCCCCUUUGAAAGUCGACCCGCGAGGCUCGCCUUUCAAAACAAGAGAGGGGUGUUCUCGUGGGAUUAGCUGGUGUUGCCCGGCAGAGGUGACUAUAGUGGUCUAUUUAUCGUGUGACAAAUGACCAAUUUUAAUUUAAUUUA